This is a long non-coding RNA of Oncorhynchus tshawytscha (Chinook salmon), 883 nucleotides long. The record is from Ensembl. NCBI's taxonomy places the organism in Eukaryota, Metazoa, Chordata, Actinopteri, Salmoniformes, Salmonidae.
CUUCUAGUUCCGACAAUGCAGUAAUAACGAACAAGUAAUCUAACUAACAAUUCCAAAAAACUACUGUCUUAUACACAGUGUAAGGGGAUAAAGAAUAUGUACAUAAAGAUAUAUGAAUGAGUGAUGGUACAGAGCGGCAUAGGCAAGAUACAGUAGCUGAUAUCGAGUACAGUAUAUGCAUAUGAGAUGAGUAUGUAAACAAAGUGGCAUAGUUAAAGUGGCUAGUGAUACAUGUAUUACAUAAGGAUGCAGUAGAUGAUAUAGAGUACAGUAUAUACGUAUACAUAUGAGAUGAAUAAUGUAGGGUAUGUAAACAUUAUAUUAGGUAGCAUUGUUUAAAGUGGCUAGUGUCAUUAUUUCCAUGUCGAUCCUAGUAGAAGAAACAGCCCUUAUGAUUUCAUGGUGAACUUCAUUGUAACCUCCUGAACGUCCUGUGAACCAGCCACUGUUUCUGGCAGCAGAAUGCAAAGAACAACAGAAGCCAAAACCACAUCAGGAAGAUCAUAUUUAUACAAGAGUCAGAAAGGCAAACAGGCAGGUUGGAGAUAGUGAAACAGACAGGUUGGAGAUAGUGAAACAGACAGGUUGGAGAUAGUGAAACAGACAGGUUGGAGAUAGUGAAACAGGCAGGUUGGAGAUAGUGAAACAGACAGGUUGGAGAUAGUGAAACAGACAGGUUGGAGAUAGUGAAACAGGCAGGUUGGAGAUAGUGAAACAGGCAGGUUGGAGAUAGUGAAACAGACAGGUUGGAGAUAGUGAAACAGGCAGGUUGGAGAUAGUGAAACAGGCAGGUUGGAGAUAGUGAAACAGACAGGUUGGAGAUAGUGAAACAGACAGGUUGGAGAUAGUGAAACAGGCAGGUUGGAGAUAGUGAAACAGACAG